GACGAACGCUGGCGGCGUGCCUAAUACAUGCAAGUCGAGCGAUGAUUAAAGAUAGCUUGCUAUUUUUAUGAAGAGCGGCGAACGGGUGAGUAACGCGUGGGAAAUCUGCCGAGUAGCGGGGGACAACGUUUGGAAACGAACGCUAAUACCGCAUAACAAUGAGAAUCGCAUGAUUCUUAUUUGAAAGGAGCAAUUGCUUCACUACUUGAUGAUCCCGCGUUGUAUUAGCUAGUUGGUAGUGUAAAGGACUACCAAGGCGAUGAUACAUAGCCGAGCGGGGAGGGUGCUCGGCCACACUGGGACUGAGACAUGGCCCAGACUCCUACGGGAGGCAGCAGUAGGGAAUCUUCGGCAAGGGGGGCAACCCUGACCGAGCAACGCCGCGUGAGUGAAGAAGGUUUUCGGAUCGUAAAACUCUGUUGUUAGAGAAGAACGUUAAGUAGAGUGGAAAAUUACUUAAGUGACGGUAUCUAACCAGAAAGGGACAGCUAACUACGUGCCAGCAGCCGCGGUAA
Molecule: ribosomal RNA, 515 nt
Filed under: uncultured bacterium
Lineage: Bacteria
Description: partial 16S ribosomal RNA
Rfam family: Bacterial small subunit ribosomal RNA
Source: RNAcentral